This 422-nucleotide ribosomal RNA is filed under the name uncultured bacterium. RNAcentral's name for it is "bacterial SSU rRNA". It matches the Rfam family "Bacterial small subunit ribosomal RNA", at positions 355 to 774 of the family's 1533-position model. The record is from RNAcentral.
UAAGGAAUAUUGGUCAAUGGAGGCAACUCUGAACCAGCCAUGCCGCGUGAAGGAUUAAGGCCCUCUGGGUUGUAAACUUCUUUUAUAUGGGCAGAAAUGUUCUGAUUCUUCAGAGCUUGACGGUACCAUAGGAAUAAGCACCGGCUAACUCCGUGCCAGCAGCCGCGGUAAUACGGAGGGUGCAAGCGUUAUCCGGAUUCACUGGGUUUAAAGGGUGCGUAGGUGGGCUGAUAAGUCAGUGGUGAAAUCUUCCGGCUUAACCGGAAAAUGGCCGUUGAUAGUAUUUGUCUUGAAUAUUGCGGAGGUAAGCGGAAUAUGUCAUGUAGCGGUGAAAUGCUUAGAUAUGACAUAGAACACCAAUUGCGAAGGCAGCUUACUAUAUAAUUAUUGACGCUGAGGCACGAAAGCGUGGGUAGCGAACA